GGCCUUAUAGUCAAUAAUGAUAUAAAAUUGCAAAUUUUAAGGAGUAAAAUAAAAUACUAAGGCUU
RNAcentral lists this transfer RNA (65 nucleotides) under Hyblaea puera (teak defoliator). Its description in RNAcentral is "tRNA-Cys". The record is from RNAcentral. Lineage: Eukaryota; Metazoa; Arthropoda; Insecta; Lepidoptera; Hyblaeidae.